AGAAAAUUAAACAAAGCUUUAUAACCAUGUAUACAUGGGAGAGGCUCAGACAAGCUGAGCAACUCGCCAAAAUGGCUGAAGCCCCCCCCCCACCUUAAAUAUCAUAUCCAGCUAAAGACAAAGGAGGAUGUUGGGGGUGGGGGGAAUCAGUUACAGGAGGUUAUCAGGCAAGCACAAUAAACAAAUGCAGAUUUAAGUCCUUGCCUUCCCCAUUGAUUAAGACUGUCUAGAUAUAAGGUCAUCCUUCCUUCCUGGUGCAGAGAGGGAGACAUCUUUACAGAUGGAGAUUUCCUUUGCAAUGUAAAUGUCUCUUACAAAGGUUCUUUCAAAAUGGAAAUCAGCCACCCAGUUCAGCACCCACAGUCCCUUGGGAUCCCCCUAAGAAAGCAGUGGAUGGGUCUCCAGAAACUGGUUUUGUCAAGGAUUCCUGUAUUCAGCCACUAUGAGAGAUUGCCUCCUGGUGCCUCUGGGAUCCAUAGAAACUAGGGAUGUUGAUGACUAGCAGUUGAAGGGACUGCUGUCAUGAGGAGCUCAAUGGAGCCACGAUUCUGCUUGGAGAAGAACCUGGUACCAAAUGGAAGCAAAAUACCAGAUCCGGUUCUAUCAAAAUGGAAGCUAGCCACCCAGUCCAGCACUACAAGACCUUUGGGCCUGAGAAGGCAGUGGAAUGGGUCUCUAGAAACUGACUUUGACAAGGGCUCCUAUAUUCAAACAUGACUGGAGGCUGACCCCUGGUGGAUGGUAGACCUGGGAUCUCUGUACGCUGGAAAUGGUGGUGAUUAUCAACCUAAGGGAGUGCUGUCAGGAGGAGCUUAACAGAACCAUGACAAAUGGGAGACUCACCUAGUAAUCGUGAGAAGUUAAAUUUUAAGGAUAAAAGGAAAAUUACUUUUGAAAGAUGAUCAAAUCCAUGUGUUUUUUGUUGUUGAUCUAAGGAAAAUUUUUUAAUUAAACCCAUUUUUUUAAAAGUCAGC
Molecule: long non-coding RNA, 974 nt
Filed under: Equus asinus (donkey)
Lineage: Eukaryota; Metazoa; Chordata; Mammalia; Perissodactyla; Equidae
Description: lncRNA (ENSEASG00005030758.1)
Source: RNAcentral